AUGCUCAUUUGGUAGCACAUGUAUUAAAACUGGAAUAAUACAGAAAAGAUCAGCAUGGCUCCCUGGUACAAGAAUGCGAUACAGAUUGAGAAAUGUUCCAUAUUUUU
This is a small nuclear RNA of Gracilinanus agilis (Agile Gracile Mouse Opossum), 107 nucleotides long. Lineage: Eukaryota; Metazoa; Chordata; Mammalia; Didelphimorphia; Didelphidae. The record is from RefSeq and is a predicted model, not a curated record.